AUGUGAUUUAUAGACACUUAAUAAUUUGCAUAUAAUUAAAAUAAUAUGAAAUCGGUAACGUUUCCUGGAAAAUAAAAGAAAUAAAAAAAUAAAAGUGGAGUGAAGCACGAUUGGUCCCCAUCCGAGUAUCUGUUUCUCCCUCCCCUAUCUGGUCUAUAAAGACGUAAGAAGACCGCUCCCUAUGGAUGAUGGUGUACCUUCUGACGAGAGUGGUGACGUGAAUAU
Molecule: long non-coding RNA, 225 nt
Filed under: Carica papaya (papaya)
Lineage: Eukaryota; Viridiplantae; Streptophyta; Magnoliopsida; Brassicales; Caricaceae
Description: long non-coding RNA (CPAP_LNC009287)
Source: RNAcentral